Molecule: transfer RNA, 88 nt
Filed under: Cryobacterium fucosi
Lineage: Bacteria; Bacillati; Actinomycetota; Actinomycetes; Micrococcales; Microbacteriaceae
Description: Cryobacterium sp. Hh4 tRNA-Thr
Source: RNAcentral
GCCUCUCGGUGCUGAAUAACUGGGUAACGUUCGAAGUGUCGGCCUUGUAAUCCGCUUGUCGUAGGUUCGAUUCCUACCGGGGGCACCA